CCUACGGGAGGCAGCAGUGAGGAAUAUUGGUCAAUGGCCGGAAGGCUGAACCAGCCAAGCCGCGUGAAGGACGAAGGUGCCAAGCAUUGUAAACUUCUUUUGUCAAGGGACAAAAUCAGGCUCGAGAGCCUGACCGAGGGUACUUGAAGAAAAAGCAUCGGCUAACUCGGUGCCAGCAGCCGCGGUAAUACGGAGGAUGCGAGCGUUAUCCGGAUUGAUUGGGUUUAAAGGGUGCGUAGGCGGGCUGUUAAGUCAGCGGUAAAAGCCCGGGGCUCAACCCCGGCGAGCCGUUGAAACUGGCUGUCUUGAGAUGUCGAGAGGUAUGCGGAAUGCGCAGUGUAGCGGUGAAAUGCUUAGAUAUUGCGCAGAACUCCGAUUGCGAAGGCAGCAUACCGGCGGCGAUCUGACGCUGAGGCACGAAAGCGUGGGUAUCGAACAGGAUUAGAUACCCUUGUAGUC
This 459-nucleotide ribosomal RNA is filed under the name uncultured bacterium. Its description in RNAcentral is "partial 16S ribosomal RNA". It matches the Rfam family "Bacterial small subunit ribosomal RNA", at positions 338 to 795 of the family's 1533-position model. The record is from RNAcentral.